RNAcentral lists this ribosomal RNA (497 nucleotides) under uncultured bacterium. RNAcentral describes it as "partial 16S ribosomal RNA". It matches the Rfam family "Bacterial small subunit ribosomal RNA", at positions 28 to 507 of the family's 1533-position model. The record is from RNAcentral.
GAUGAACGCUGGCGGCGUGCCUAAUACAUGCAAGUCGAGCGAACAGACGAGGAGCUUGCUCCUCUGACGUUAGCGGCGGACGGGUGAGUAACACGUGGAUAACCUACCUAUAAGACUGGGAUAACUUCGGGAAACCGGAGCUAAUACCGGAUAACAUGUUGAACCGCAUGGUUCAACAGUGAAAGACGGUCUUGCUGUCACUUAUAGAUGGAUCCGCGCCGCAUUAGCUAGUUGGUAAGGUAACGGCUUACCAAGGCAACGAUGCGUAGCCGACCUGAGAGGGUGAUCGGCCACACUGGAACUGAGACACGGUCCAGACUCCUACGGGAGGCAGCAGUAGGGAAUCUUCCGCAAUGGGCGAAAGCCUGACGGAGCAACGCCGCGUGAGUGAAGAAGGUCUUCGGAUCGUAAAACUCUGUUAUUAGGGAAGAACAAAUGUGUAAGUAACUAUGCGCGUCUUGACGGUACCUAAUCAGAAAGCCACGGCUAACUACGUG